This is a small nuclear RNA of Meriones unguiculatus (Mongolian gerbil), 165 nucleotides long. Its record names the gene U1. It matches the Rfam family "U1 spliceosomal RNA". Rfam says of the family: U1 is a small nuclear RNA (snRNA) component of the spliceosome (involved in pre-mRNA splicing). Its 5' end forms complementary base pairs with the 5' splice junction, thus defining the 5' donor site of an intron. There are significant differences in sequence and secondary structure between metazoan and yeast U1 snRNAs, the latter being much longer (568 nucleotides as compared to 164 nucleotides in human). The record is from Ensembl. NCBI's taxonomy places the organism in Eukaryota, Metazoa, Chordata, Mammalia, Rodentia, Muridae.
AUACUUAUCUGGCAGGGGAGUUACCAUGAUCACGAAGGUGGUUUUCCCAGGGCAAGGCUUAUCCAAUCGCACUCCGGAUGUGCUGACCUCUUCGAUUUCCCCAAAUUCGGGAAACUCAGCUGCAUAAUUUGUGGUAGUGGGGGAAUGUGUCCGCGCUCUUCCCUG